UCUCUCUCUCUCUCUCUCUCUCACACACACACACACAGAGAGAGAGAGAGAGAGAGAGAGAGAGAGAGAAAGAGAGAGA
Molecule: non-coding RNA, 79 nt
Organism: Podarcis lilfordi (Lilford's wall lizard)
Lineage: Eukaryota; Metazoa; Chordata; Lepidosauria; Squamata; Lacertidae
Source: the annotation of a GenBank genome assembly